RNAcentral lists this ribosomal RNA (328 nucleotides) under uncultured bacterium. RNAcentral's name for it is "bacterial SSU rRNA". It matches the Rfam family "Bacterial small subunit ribosomal RNA", at positions 568 to 898 of the family's 1533-position model. The record is from RNAcentral.
CGUGUAGGCGGUGCGGUAAGUGGGGCGUGAAAUCCCCGGGCUUAACCCGGGGGGGCCGUUCCGAACUGCCGUGCUAGGGUGCGGGAGAGGGCAGUGGAAUUCCCGGUGUAGCGGUGAAAUGCGCAGAUAUCGGGAGGAACACCUGCGGCGAAGGCGGCUGCCUGGACCGUAACCGACGCUGAGGCGCGAAAGCUAGGGGAGCAAACAGGAUUAGAUACCCUGGUAGUCCUAGCCCUAAACGUUGAACACUGGGUGUAGCCCCUCACGGGGCUGUGCCGAAGCUAACGCAUUAAGUGUUCCGCCUGGGGAGUACGGUCGCAAGGCUGAA